UACGUAGGGUGCAAGCGUUGUCCGGAAUUAUUGGGCGUAAAGAGCUCGUAGGCGGUUCGUCGCGUCGGCUGUGAAAUCUCGAGGCUCAACCUCGGGUCUGCAGUCGAUACGGGCGGACUGGAGUUCGGCAGGGGAGACUGGAAUUCCUGGUGUAGCGGUGAAAUGCGCAGAUAUCAGGAGGAACACCGGUGGCGAAGGCGGGUCUCUGGGCCGAUACUGACGCUGAGGAGCGAAAGCGUGGGGAGCGAACAGG
Molecule: ribosomal RNA, 253 nt
Filed under: uncultured bacterium
Lineage: Bacteria
Description: partial 16S ribosomal RNA
Rfam family: Bacterial small subunit ribosomal RNA
Source: RNAcentral